RNAcentral lists this long non-coding RNA (990 nucleotides) under Malus domestica (apple). RNAcentral describes it as "long non-coding RNA (MDOM_LNC012514)". Lineage: Eukaryota; Viridiplantae; Streptophyta; Magnoliopsida; Rosales; Rosaceae. The record is from RNAcentral.
AAAUGGCCUUGAGUGAGGGAUUUCUGACGAAUGAGCAGAGGGGAAUGUUAAAAAUUGCCAGCUAGAAUGUUAAAAAUUGCCAGCCAGAAUGUGGAGGUUUUAUCGUCAUCACCGAAAUCCCCUACAUCUUUUCUAUCUGAACACCAUGUAAAAGCCCUUGCUGGUGGGAAGGCACCAACAACUGGGAUAGCUACGAGGCAUGUACGCCGGUCACACUCAGGGAAGCUUGUGCGAGUAAAGAAGGAUGCAGGCUUGUGGUGGAGCUGCAAUGAUGAGUUCUCUUCAACAACCCAUUUGGACAAAGGGAAUAGCUUUUCUCAACAAAGGGCUUAGCUUUACCGGACAUUCACAUGUGCUAGCAUGUUGAUGCUCUGUCACCUUCUUGAGGUUAAAGAAAAGUUGAGUCCAGAGUUUUCAUGACGCUUUGAAUAAAGGACAGAUGGCUUUGUCGACCACAUGAAAAAAGAUAUGUACCUUAUCUUUUGGCUGAUUUAUUUAAAAUUAUCAUUUGUUUAUUUAAAUAUCUUAUUAUUUUGGUCAUGAUGACUAAUUAUAAAAUAAUAAUUUUAUUAUUUUUAUUUCAUGAUGACUUAUGAUUAAAUAAUAUAAUUAUUAUUUCUAAUACCACAUGAUUACUACCACGUUAUUGAUUUAUACAACAUGUGAUUUAUCAAACAAUUGAAUAAAUCAUUUAUUCAUGAUUGUAUAUAUAUAUAUAUAUACACACACACAUUUAGGCAAUACCUAAUAUAUUGUUGAUUUAUGCAACAUGUCAUUUAUCACACAACAGAAUAAAUCAUUUAUUCAUAAAAGGCACAUAAUACAAUAUUUUGCCUUGACAAACUUUGUCAAUUUGAUUUAUUCAUUAUACGGUCGUACUUAUCAUUUAUUGUCAGGAAUUAUUGAGCAACUAGAUCCAUUGAUCAACAUUGUUGCUGAUUAAAGAAGUCUACCAACUUAUAGACUGAUGAGCCACGUGCUCAUGGUGAU